CUCCGUCACCACGAACCGGCUCCACCGUGUGUGCUGGUUGUAACUUUGCGCUGAGCGGUUGCAGAAAAAAAAAAGGUGCCCGCGGGGGAUGCUCUUCUAGCACCGCCAGGUCACCGGUGUAGCAAGAAAAACGAUGGCCGGCGAUUUGCAACCGGCGACAUUUUCACAAGCUGGAAACGGCAAUUUAGAACGAUACAACCAGCUGAAACGAAAGUUGCAACCGGCGUUUCGAAAAGCUACUACCGGCGAUCAAAAAAGAUGCAACGAGCUAAGCUGGAAAUGGGCGAUUAAAAAUGCUGGAACUGGUGUUUGUAAAAGAUGCAAUCGGCUUGUUGAAAAGCUGCAACUGGCGAUUCGGAAAGCUACUACCGGUGAUCAAAGAAGAUGCAAACGAGUUGAACAGAAGUUGGAACCGGUGAUUAAAAAUGAUGGAACUGGUGAUUGGAAAAGAUGCAACCGGCUUGUAAAAAAGCUGCAACCAUUGAUUUGAACUGGUACUGUAGAGAUUUAAUUGAGGCCGGGGGUCGCCGGAGAUGCAAAGGACAUGGCCGUGGGUUGCAGCAUGACCUGUUGUAGCAAAUUUUGACACCGACUGUAGCAAAGAAUCGAUGAUGAUCGUGGUGACCGGCGAGCCCUAGUGCUCCGCCAACACGAGGUUGUAGCUCCCGGCAUUGCCGGUUGCAGCUCCCCACGACAAGGUUGCAACUUCUAGCGCCAGUAGUCCCCGCAGCCGGCGACCGUGGGUGUCGCCGUUGCAGCUCGCCGCGCAGUGGCCCUGGUCGUUGUUCCAGGAAGCCGCCAUCCUCAUCGUAGCUCGCAGCGGCAAAGUAGGCUUGGGCGGCCGCGCUCAAGGAAGGGAGCGAGGGAGGG
RNAcentral lists this ribosomal RNA (870 nucleotides) under Triticum aestivum (bread wheat). RNAcentral's name for it is "partial small subunit ribosomal RNA". The record is from RNAcentral. Lineage: Eukaryota; Viridiplantae; Streptophyta; Magnoliopsida; Poales; Poaceae.